ACGGCGAGUGAAGCGGGAAGAGCUCAAAUUUGAAAGCUGUGUGCCUUUGGUAACCGCAUUGUAAUCUCGAGAUCUGUAUACCKCGCUGGACCAUGUACAAGUCCCUUGGAAUAGGGCGUCAUAGAUGGUGAGAAUCCCGUACUUGACAUGGCCUCCCAUUGCUUUGUGAUACAGGCUCAACGAGUCGAGUUGUUUGGGAAUGCAGCUCAAAAUGGGUGGUAAAUUCCAUCUAAAGCUAAAUAUGGGGGAGAGACCGAUAGCGAACAAGUACCGUGAGGGAAAGAUGAAAAGCACUUUGGAAAGAAAGUUAAACAGUACGUGAAAUUGUCAAAAGGGAACCGUUUAAAGUUAGUCAUGCUUGCCUGGACUCAGCCUUGCUUUUGCUUGGUGCAUUUCCAGGUUAGCAGGUCACCAUCGGUUUUGACUGCUGGAUAAGGGUGAGAGGAAUGUGGCACCUUCGGGUGUGUUAUAGCCUCUUACUGGAUGCAGCAGUUGGGACCGAGGAACGCAGCGCGCCUUUAUGG
This 524-nucleotide ribosomal RNA is filed under the name Entyloma gaillardianum. RNAcentral describes it as "LSU rRNA". It matches the Rfam family "Eukaryotic large subunit ribosomal RNA", at positions 86 to 613 of the family's 3401-position model. Lineage: Eukaryota; Fungi; Basidiomycota; Exobasidiomycetes; Entylomatales; Entylomataceae. The record is from RNAcentral. RNAcentral also lists the same sequence under 1 other name.